ACUUUGGUAGUCUAAUAGACAUUUGAUUUCGACUCAAAAGAACUUAUACUAUAAGCCACAGUA
RNAcentral lists this transfer RNA (63 nucleotides) under Oocatochus rufodorsatus (frog-eating rat snake). RNAcentral's name for it is "tRNA-Arg". Lineage: Eukaryota; Metazoa; Chordata; Lepidosauria; Squamata; Colubridae. The record is from RNAcentral.